UACGAGGGGUGCAAGCGUUGCUCGGAAUUAUUGGGCGUAAAGGGUUGGUAGGUGGUCUUGUUUGUCUAGGGUGAAAUCCCAUGGCUUAACUGUGGAAGUGCCCUAGAAACGGCAAGACUAGAGUCCUAGAGGGGUUUGUGGAAUUCCCGGUGUAGCGGUGAAAUGCGUAGAGAUCGGGAGGAACACCAGCGGCGAAGGCGGCAAACUGGAUAGGCACUGACACCCAACAACGAAAGCGUGGGGAGCAAACAGG
This 253-nucleotide ribosomal RNA is filed under the name uncultured bacterium. RNAcentral's name for it is "partial 16S ribosomal RNA". It matches the Rfam family "Bacterial small subunit ribosomal RNA", at positions 524 to 776 of the family's 1533-position model. The record is from RNAcentral.